Long non-coding RNA from Numida meleagris (helmeted guineafowl), 1141 nucleotides. RefSeq lists it as uncharacterized. The transcript has 2 exons. The record is from RefSeq and is a predicted model, not a curated record. Lineage: Eukaryota; Metazoa; Chordata; Aves; Galliformes; Numididae.
CCAUAUGGGAGACAGGCACUCCACGAAACAAGCUCCCGAAUUGUUUUUAUUCUGUUUUUUAUCUGAAGGGACCACCACCGGUGCAAGGCUCAUUUCUUGUCGUGCCUCAAAAAGCUAUUAAAGGCAAUUGUCGUGCUGGACAGACCGAGCGCUGCAAUCCGGAUGUGCCAUCCUAUUGGCGCUCCCAGCAUCGCCUCCUCCACCCCUCUCUGACAUGGAUUUAAUGCAGGUGCAGACACAAGCCUCGCAUAAGGGAGCAAUUUUCUGAUUCAUUCAUGUAAGACCCUGAGGGAGAGUUGGAACAAGAUGUACAAAGGGAAGAAAAAAAAAAACCAUAGAAUUUGGGGCACUCGUGUCAGACCCAUCCUCCAGCUGCCUUGGGAAGGAGCACAAGACGGAAAGCCACGCCAACAGAAUCCUUCCCAUCUAAUCCUGCUGCCUUGAUUAAUGUCUUCUGCCUCCAAAGAGGUGAACUCUGGCAUCCAGGCUCAGCUCCAUGGGGGCUGAGCAAGCCCGUACGGGGACAGAUGCCUUGGCUUGUGGAAAGGGGAGGUGGUUUCCCUGCUGGUGCAGCCGUGCUCCCGCAGGAUGCUUGCUAUAGACAAAGCAGUGGAGCAGGGAGGCUGAAAGCUGUGGGGUUGCAGACAACCCCGGGAAAUACUUUCGCUCCUUGCUCUAUCUCCAAAUUAGGGAAUGUAUCUUAAACAACACUAAAAUUUGAUUUUAAUAUAGUUUUUUAUCUCUAUCCGAAUCAAGAUUACUUCAGUAAAACAACGAGCACAUUUUCCCCUGUCCUAGGAAUUAAAAGAAGUUUUCAGCUUGGAGCAGUAUUUUUGGUCAUGAGGAAAAGCAAAAUAGAAACGUGCGUUGCCGUGAGGGGCUGUCACAAAGCUAGGCAGCAGGCAGCGGUUGGUACAAUUCCCAGCAACAGGCCGGUAUCUACAAGUUGUAUGCGGGCAUACUUUGCAUGCACUGCAGCAAUAAUUGGUGGCUGAGCCCCUUGUUUUCAAAGCAUUUGCUAAAAGCAGCUUUCUGGCCACAAGCAAUAAGUAGCUGCAGUUAUUUGACUUAAUUUUUCAAGGAGCUCUCCUACUCUGCCAGACAUUUUCUGCACAAUGCUGUGACAAUAAAUUCCCUAAAA